ACCUUUAAAAAUAAGCUUAUAUUCAAUUUGGCAGGAAAUUAUGCAAAUACAUUCUGUAAGGGCAGAUUCCAAUGGUAAAACAUGAAAUAAACUUAAGAAAAAGGGGGAGUCAAGUAAAGAGAAAGUUGGUGGGUCUUGCUAUUUUUUUGUACUUUAAAUAUUUUUAGGCCUCUUCACCACUGCUGUUGGGUCAUUUCUCUUAGCUAUACUAAAGAGCCUUUGUCAGUCUGGAGGAGGCAGCCAUGUGUCCAUGAAUGCUUAUUUAGUAUGGUGAGGACAGAUGGCCUGGAAUUGCUGAAGAAGACCUUAAGAUAUAUUUAAAAGAGGAAAGGGAAAGAAACAAUAAGGGAGGAAAUAAAUUAGAGAAGAGGCAAAUGUGUGGCAAAGAAAAGUACACACACAAACACACACACAUGCAAGCACAUGCACACAAAUGCAGACAGACUCUAAAGUGCAAAAAAAGCAAUGGAUGCAUCAAGAAUUUCAUUUUAGCCUCUUCUGAGAACCAAGAAGCCAUAUAAAGCAAAGCACUUUCUGAAAUGAAGUUCACUAUGUGCUAAACACACAGAGAAUAAAGCAUGAAACCAAAGCACCACGACCCCACCCUCACCAAGACUGCAGGGAGUGAUGGAGCAUACAACUUGGUUUCAGAAUACAAUUCGGAUCUUUCCUUUCACUUGGCUUUUUAAAACUUCUUUGAGGAUGGUAAAUUUUCAUAUUAUAUUAAAUUUCAUGCUGUAACUGAUAUUCUGGGAUCAUGUUGGCCAAUAACUGAUAAGAUUUGAAAUAAUCAGUCAACUAGUUUAGGCAUGGCUUAGCACACUCCAGCUGACUUCACAAGUAAAGCCAUGUGAAGUUUUCAGAUAACACAGGUGGAGGUGGCGAUCCUUCUCAUUUCAUGGAAAAUAUUAAUUGCUCAUUUUUUAUUCACUGAUAACUAGUGAAAUUCCUUGCUCUACCUAAUAUGAAGACUUCUGAAUUACCUAACUAAAACUUUAUAGUAACUGAAAAGUUUGGGUAUUUUAUUUUCUUGGAGAAAAUGUUAGCUUCCAGUCAUCUAUUACUUCAAAAUGUUAAACUUUUCAUGAAUUUCCUCUGUGUAUACUAAUGGGCAUAAUGAUCCACUCUGAAAUAUUAACUGUCAUUUUGAAUUCAUUCAUAAAUCAUCACAAACGUGUACAUCUCUUAUACCUUCAUGGAUGCUAUUGGUGAGAUGAUCUCUCCUUGUCAACACCUUGAGGAUAGGGACUUCUUCAGGCUUGCCUCUAGCAACUGCUAAGUGCCUGGGAACACAGAAUAAAUAUUUUAUGAUAGGAAGAUGUUAGAAUAAGAGGAAAAACUGGGGUAAAAAAAUUUACCCUAAUAAAUUAUAUUUAUUAUAUUCUUAUUUGUAUAUCAUUGUAACUGUAAAAAAUAUUUGCCUAGGGAUUUGUUUUACUUGCACAAAUACUUGUUUCUGGGUAUGUAAGACUACCAAACAUAUACUGCAUAACAUUCAGAAAUUACAGAAAUGUAUAUAUAUUUAUAUAGACAUAAUAAAAUAAAAUUUUCAUUCUACCAUAUAGAAAUAACUACAUUUAAUAAACUAUAUUUAAUGUUAUUUUUCUCAUAUAUGUAAAGUUUCACAUAGUUAAGUUUAUACAUUUGCUUUCAAAACUCAUUUUUCAAUUAAACAUUAUAUCCAUUAGAAUGUUCAUGACAUCCUUUAUUUAUACCUUUACAUUUAUUUUUAGGGCCAGAUGUGAUGGUUCACACUUGUAAUCCCAGCACUUUGGGAGGCCAAGGCAGGUGUAUCACAAGGUCAGGAGAU
Cebus imitator (Panamanian white-faced capuchin) is the source of this 1810-nucleotide long non-coding RNA. RefSeq lists it as uncharacterized. NCBI's taxonomy places the organism in Eukaryota, Metazoa, Chordata, Mammalia, Primates, Cebidae. The record is from RefSeq and is a predicted model, not a curated record. The transcript is spliced from 3 exons.